CAGCUAUAUCACAUUGAAACACUAAUUCCCAUAAGAUCAGCAAAUUUAAGCCAUGUCAAGCUUGGUCAGUACUUAGAUGGGUGACCACUUGAAAAUACCAGGUGGUGUAAG
Acanthosepion pharaonis is the source of this 111-nucleotide non-coding RNA. NCBI's taxonomy places the organism in Eukaryota, Metazoa, Mollusca, Cephalopoda, Sepiida, Sepiidae. The record is from the annotation of a GenBank genome assembly.